This 253-nucleotide ribosomal RNA is filed under the name uncultured bacterium. Its description in RNAcentral is "partial 16S ribosomal RNA". It matches the Rfam family "Bacterial small subunit ribosomal RNA", at positions 524 to 776 of the family's 1533-position model. The record is from RNAcentral.
GACGAAGGAUCCAAGCGUUGUCCGGAUUUACUGGGUGUAAAGGGCGCGCAGGCGGGUUAGCAAGUCAGAGGUGAAAUCCUACAGCUUAACUGUAGAACUGCCUUUGAAACUGUUAAUCUUGAGUGCGGAAGAGAGAGACGGAAUUCCAGGUGUAGCGGUGAAAUGCGUAGAUAUCUGGAAGAACACCAGUUGCGAAGGCGGUCUCUUGGUCCGUUACUGACGCUCAGGCGCGAAAGCGUGGGGAGCAAACAGG